AUCAUACUCCCUCUGUCCGAAAAAACUUGUCCCUCCAAUGGAUGUAUCUAGCACUAACUUGAUGCUAGAUAUAUCCAUUUGAGGGACACUAACUUGAUGCUAGGUACAUCCAUUUAAGGGACAAACUUUUUCGGACGGAGGGAGUACACG
Triticum aestivum (bread wheat) is the source of this 150-nucleotide non-coding RNA. The record is from Rfam. NCBI's taxonomy places the organism in Eukaryota, Viridiplantae, Streptophyta, Magnoliopsida, Poales, Poaceae.